RNAcentral lists this ribosomal RNA (373 nucleotides) under uncultured organism. RNAcentral's name for it is "partial 16S ribosomal RNA". It matches the Rfam family "Bacterial small subunit ribosomal RNA", at positions 527 to 896 of the family's 1533-position model. The record is from RNAcentral.
GUAGGUGGCAAGCGUUGUCCGGAAUUAUUGGGCGUAAAGCGCGCGCAGGCGGUUCUUUAAGUCUGAUGUGAAAGCCCACGGGCUCAACCGUGGAGGGUCAUUGGAAACUGGAGAACUUGAGUACAGAAGAGGAAAGCGGAAUUCCACGUGUAGCGGUGAAAUGCGUAGAGAUGUGGAGGAACACCAGUGGCGAAGGCGGCUUUCUGGUCUGUAACUGACGCUGAGGCGCGAAAGCGUGGGGAGCAAACAGGAUUAGAUACCCUGGUAGUCCACGCCGUAAACGAUGAGUGCUAAGUGUUAGGGGGUUUCCGCCCCUUAGUGCUGCGGCUAACACAUUAAGCACUCCGCCUGGGGAGUACGGCCGCAAAGGCUG